UAUCCUCAGGAUUGGACUUGGAAAUUCAGGAAGAACGAUAUUGGAGAAGGGAUGGCUAUGUGGUUACAAUGUGGUAACACAAGGUCCAGGUUGACGUUUGCUCGCUGAUGUCCGAUUUCACUGUCUUGUUAUAUUUGAGAAAGGGAGGAUGUCCAACUUAAUAUAUAAAAGGUACAGAAAUUUAUUAUUUUAUAUAUGCCCUGUAGUUGAUCCCUAUGUUUCAAGAAAAAAAGGAGUUUUUAUUCUAAAAAAAUAAGAUAAUAGACCAUUGAUUUUGUGAAAUACAUGGAUAUGUAAAUAAAAACAAUGUCAACUGUCAAGGACUGCACAGUAAGCAAAUAUUUCCAGGUUUUAUACACUCAGAGGUCUAGAAGAAACAUAUUGGCCUCCAUAAAAAGGAAAACCUUAGGAAUCGAAAUGUGUGUCACAUGCAUUGUCUCGAGUAGUAGAUUUACUUUUAAGAAAAAACUCCCUCUUCCUUGGUCCCUAGAGAUUUGGGUGCCAAGAAAAAUCUGUUCUCUCAUUCAGGUUGUAAGCAGCCCUCCCCAGCAAAAGCACUGUUGAGUUCUAAUGAUGCACAGAGAAACAUCUAGCUUAGCAAUAGAGGUUGCCAAAUGCUAUUCCCAGUGAUGUAUGAGAGACUGGAGGAAAGGGUCCACACAGAAAUUGAUCAAUUUUUGGAGAGCUAGUUAGCAGGUAGGUCAUAGAACUUCCCAGUGGCAUCAUCAGUAAGCCCUUCACUGGACAAUCUAUUGUAUCUAAGAGAUCCCUAGAAUCUUCUGUGAUGUCACCAGUGUUGUGGUGACACCAACUGCCUUUGGGAUAUUCCUUCAGUUCCCUUUGGGUUCACAAACAGGCAUGUUUCACCAGCCGCUCAGGCUAUUUCAGAAGGAAAGUGUUGAUCAAGGAGAGACCACACCAAGGCUGAAGGAAGAUGACCUCCUCUCAUCUUCCUUGGAAGGAAGGAAAUCAUUCUGGGGAAGGCUUGGUUUUGGUAGGAAGGCAUCAUCCCAAAAUGUCAUCAGUAAGCAAGAGGAGUGUUUAAAGGAACUGGAGGAACUUAAAUUUGAAAUCCAGAAGUGUCAAUUCGAGAGGGAUGAAUUUUAUCAAAUCCUGGACCUUUAUAUCUAUGAUAAUUGGGACCACAGGCUGGAUGUCGAAUUGCCAAUACUUCAAUCCGAACAUGAGAUGAGAAUGAUGGCUAUGCAAAUGAUGACCAGUUCAAAGUGAGGCCAUGGACAGGUACAAGGAGCUCAUACAAGUGAACAGUUCCUACCGCAUCAGGCACUCCCAGCUUCUGCGUGAACAAACUCAAUUGAAGAACAAUAUACAGAUUUUGCUGAAUGAGAAGAGAGAACUGCUGGUGGAGCAGACUGAACGGCCAGCAUCCUGUGUGGAGGCAAAGAGGCUCUGUGAAGAGGCCGGAAUGAACAUCUGUGUCCCCAGUGCAAAGGAACAGCAGGUCUGAAAUUCUCCAGGAGAAACUCGAACAAGACACAAACCAGGGCAAGAUCUCCCUUGGAGAGAAGUGCUACAGGAGGAGAACUAAGUGUGCACAGCAAAUACACCACUAUUGCAUCUCAUCUGUAAUGUCCAUAGCAAUUGUGAACUGCAUUUUCCUCCUUUAGUUUUAUUUCUUUGGAUUGAAUAGGCCGUACUUUCACCUCCCCACCCUCCAGCAAGUGUAAACUUUUGGAGGGACUCAGAGAAGUGCUGAUGCACAUCAAUCAAGAGGUGCUGGUCAUCCAGAAAGACUGUGCACGUGUAAAUGUGUAUUGUCCUGGUGGGUCAUCCAGAAGAGUUUCAUGGAGAUCAGUUCACAACAUUGGACAGACUUUGAGAUAAAGUCUGUAAUAUCAUUUCUACUCAGUAUUGGAUGGCUUUGUCCUUAAUACCCCCACUCCAACAAAACAGACCUACUUCCACUCUUCUUGAAAAGAUUAUUACCAUCAGUAACUGCUUGUCUACUGUGUCUCCAAGGAAAGACACAGGCUAUAAAUCUAUUCUGCAGAAUGAGCAGCAAAAAAUGCUUAGCGCAGCUCCUCUAUUUAAAGUGUGGCUGAGUUUUGAUUAUUUUGGUUAUUUGGUUUUCCUCCUAUUCAUUUGAAGUUUUGUUAUUUAUGUCUUGUUGUUUUGUUCAUUUGGUUUUCUAUUUUGAUAAGGAUAUAGACUGUAUAUAUUGACAACCUGCAUCUGGUUACUAUCAUGUAAAUUGGGUGUAUCCUGGUGAAAAAAAAGUAAUCUCAAACUCUUCACUCUUAAGAACCUUCUUUAUUGAUCAUUAGUGUCAACAUCUGAAGUCCCACAGCUAUCAGGGAGGGAUGGAUCUCUGCAUUCUCAUGGGGACUGGGCAUCAAAAUCACUUCCCAGUCAGACUGAGAUUCAAAGGCAAUUAUACAGUCACUGUUCACUGUGUUCCAAACUCUGUGAAUUUCAACUUCAUAUUGCAUAUAUUACCCACUGUGUAUGCUUACUGUCAAAUAUAUAGUUACCUCUAAAUUAUA
Molecule: non-coding RNA, 2504 nt
Organism: Rattus norvegicus (Norway rat)
Lineage: Eukaryota; Metazoa; Chordata; Mammalia; Rodentia; Muridae
Source: RefSeq, a predicted model, not a curated record